GACGAACGCUGGCGGCGUGCCUAAUACAUGCAAGUCGAACGCAGUGGGGACGGGUGAGUAACACGUGGGUAACCUCCCCAUCAGAGGGGAUAACACUUGGAAACAGGUGCUAAAACGAUACUGAUGGAUGGACCCGCGGUGCAUUAGCUAGUUGGUGAGGUAACGGCUCACCAAGGCCACGAUGCAUAGCGGCCCUGAGAGAGUGAUGGGCCACACGGGGACUGAGACAGCGCCCAGACGCUCACGUGAGGCAGACGGAGGGAAUCUUCGGCAAUGGACGAAAGUCUGACCGAUCAACGACGCGUGAGUGAAGAAGGUUUUCGGAUCGUAAAACUCUGUUGUUAGAGAAGCGGUAUCUAACCAGAAGACCAUGGCUAACUACGCGCCAGCAGCAGCGGUAAUAC
This 404-nucleotide ribosomal RNA is filed under the name uncultured bacterium. RNAcentral describes it as "partial 16S ribosomal RNA". It matches the Rfam family "Bacterial small subunit ribosomal RNA", at positions 28 to 526 of the family's 1533-position model. The record is from RNAcentral.